This is a long non-coding RNA of Gasterosteus aculeatus aculeatus (three-spined stickleback), 2064 nucleotides long. The record is from Ensembl. Lineage: Eukaryota; Metazoa; Chordata; Actinopteri; Perciformes; Gasterosteidae.
GCUUACUCCGGACGGUCACCCGGCCUCCCGGCCGCUCGGGGGUUGCCGGGGGACGGCUAGCGGGAGCGGACGCACCGGCUACGGGGGCGGGCUGGCUAGCUACAGCGGCUAACGACGGAGCUUCCGCGGCGCGGAGCCGCGCUUCUAGCUCACUAAGCCUCGCCUCCAAUUCAUCAAAUAUACUACACUUCUUACAUGUACCAUUAUCCGUAAGGGAGGCAGAGGAAUAGCUAAACAUGUGACACACCGAGCAAGAAAGAGCAGGAGAGGCAGGGAGGGAAGACAUCGCCAGGUUAGCUGCUAAGCUAAUGCUAACGCUAAUAGAACUAUUCGAUGGAGAAUUCCCAUACUUAAUACGUCAUCAUUCACACGCUGGUAGCAGCUACCAUCAGUGAUUAACAUACAGAACGUGCCCGUCUAUCGGCUGAAUUUGUCUGGGCUGGACUCCGCGAUAAGCGGGUUUUCCAUUGGAUGGGUGGAACGCGCUCGUUUGUCGUGGGCGGAGCUUGUGCCAAAAUCUUUGGCAGAAAAAUAUUUAGCAGGAUCCGUCAUUCGGUCCCCCAUCCGUCGAGUCCAACGAGUGCAUGAUGUUCGUGAUAGCUUUACGUCUCCUGACUAUGUUCCAGUUGGCGGACCUGGUCACAGGUCCAACCAACUUUUCUUCACUUGGUGACGUAGUGUCCAAUCCUCACUGACCAAUGUGAGAACGCUCACCAAACUCCGUCGUGACCGAGUUCGGACUGCCUCACUAUCCACUGUGAGGCUCCAGCGUAGUUUCACCGACAUCCGCUACCAAUCCCCGCUACCGGUCACCGUCCUCCGCCGCCGAUCCCCGCUACCGGUCACCGUCCUCCGCCGCCGAUCUCCGCUACCGGUCACCGUCCUCCGCCGCCGAUCUCCGCUACCGGUCACCGUCCUCCGCCCGUGGCUGCGUGGUUUGCUCCACAGUCCAAUGUGAGACGCGCUGCGCCCGUAGAAUACGACUAACGCUACAUCCAAAGCACGCGACAGCGUUUCCAUUCAGCCGAUCGCCGUCGAAGACAAGGUGCUCAGACAGCACAAGGAUCGUGCCGUCUAAACUUGAUCGGUCUUUUUCUCAUACUGAGCCAAACUUUUGACUAAUUGUUGGCGCACAUUUAAGUUGUUUUGUACUCGUGUUUUCCGGCGAAUUGUUUGUGGCUUAAACUAAAAAUAACUUACUUUCAAACUUCUGAACUUAACAUCGGAUAUGUCAAUCCAUUUAUUUAUAACAAAAAUAACAAACAAUUCGGUUCCCAAUCCGCCGUGCCUCACGGUCAAAAGUUAUCUGCCUCGCUGUGCGCCACACCUGCACUAAUUAGCCCUGGUGUUAAAUAGGCUGGUGGCAAAAACAGCGCCAUCCCAUUGCAGUAUUCAGAAUGGCUCCAACAACUAUGACUGUACUAUUCUGAAGACGUCGAGGUUGUGAUGAGGUCUACGUGAGAAGACAUUUAAAUGAUUGCAUUUCCAAAUAUAUUUACAAUAAAGACAACUCUGAUACUGAUCUUAUUCCUAAAAAAACUAACGAUGCCUUUAUUGUAAGCUAUCGAGAUGCAAACUUUAUACGAGGAUGACAGAGCACAGACUCCCGUCACCUCAGUGUGUAUCACGGCACACUUUAAUUCAAGUUGAAACGAUUAACAAACAGCUGGAGACAAAAAACAGUGUAACCAACAAUAUAUAAUCAGCUGAAGUGUGAACAUGUGAAAGAAGUACACAUUAUUUCGGCCACAUAUUGUUAAAGGUGAAAGUGUGUCUUUGUCUAUCUGUCUCUCUCUCUCUCUGUGUGUCUCUCUCUCUCUCUGUGUCUCUCUCUCUCUCUGUGUCUCUCUCUCUCUCUGUGUCUCUCUGUGUGUCUGUCUCUCUCUCUCUCUCUCUCUCUGUGUGUCUGUCUCUCUCUCUCUCUCUGUGUGUCUGUCUCUCUCUCUCUCUCUGUGUGUCUGUCUCUCUCUCUCUCUCUGUGUGUCUGUCUCUCUCUCUCUCUCUGUGUGUCUGUCUCUCUCUCUCUCUCUGUGUGUCUGUCUCUCUCUCUCCCUCUCUGUGUGU